RNA transcript from Rhododendron vialii, 3359 nucleotides. RefSeq lists it as uncharacterized. The transcript is spliced from 6 exons. Lineage: Eukaryota; Viridiplantae; Streptophyta; Magnoliopsida; Ericales; Ericaceae. The record is from RefSeq and is a predicted model, not a curated record.
GAGUAAGUAACAGACAGCCGAGACCAAAGAAAGGGCACAAAACCAAACCACCACCACCUCCUCCUCCCUCUCUCUCUCCUCACUUUCUCUCCCUUCACUUCGGUCCUAAACCAGAAAAAAAAAAAGUUCGACGCAUUGAGGAAACUGGAAACCCAAGAAAUGGACGCCGACGAGAGAGUGACGGCGUUGAAGAAGGCGUACGCCGACAUAAUUCUGAACACGGCGAAAGAGGCGGCGGCUCGGAUAAUGGUGUCGGAGAGAAAAGCUGUUGGCUUUCAGCACGAGCUCAAUGUCGCCAAAGAACAGGCGCUUCAGACGCUCCUGCGUUUGAAACAAAUGAUGGAUUCGAAGGGCGGUGAAGCAGGGGUGACCUGCUUGAGUCAGCAGAAAAUGAUUGAAGACCUCGAAGCACGACUUCGGGAAGCCGAGGAUACAAUCAAUGAAGCAGAGAUGACAUCCUUAAGUCAACGCCAAAAGAUUGAAGAACUUGAAGCACAACUCGAGGAAGCUGAGGACAUAGUAAAAGACGUCAGAGAAGAGUUGAGAGAAGUGCAGGCUGAACUGGAAAGGGUGAGAAACAGCAAGUUACAGCAAAUGGAUGAAAAUGAUACUGUUGCCGAAGAACAAACAUCUCAAGCUAACAAAUUAUUUACUUCUCAGUCGGUUACACCCCCUCCUGCAAAAUCACAACUUCUACCUUCCACAACUUCCGACACGAAGAAUUCAGCUUUCUAUCAGAAAAAUGAGUUGUAUGAGUGCUACACUGUCAAUGACUCUUGUAUCUCGAAUUCCCAUAUUAGUAAACCUGAUCUUCCCUCUACCUCGGAGGAUAACAGACUAAAUACUUCUCGGUCUAUUUUAUCCACUCAUCCGGGUUCAGGACUCAAUUCUCUCACGGCUUCUGGUGUCAAGAAUUCAGCUUCCAAUCAGAGGAACGAGGUCUCUAAGGGCUAUGGUAAUUCAAAUGGGUUUCCAAUGGGUAGCUUGAACAUUAGGAAACCUGAGGUUCCCUCUGUGAUACUAAGAAGCAACGAGCCUACACCAUACAGAAACCGUCGUACCCAGAGAAUACUUGCGUUUGAAGAGAAACUGAUGGCCGGAGAAUUGGCUUUUUCUGAAACAAUGAAUGACAUGAAUUACGUAACAAGUGGAAGAGAAGAUGGAGAAGAAUCAGAAGAUGAAGGGACAUGUAAAACAUCAAUAAAGAAGAAAAAGGUGGUGCGGGGUGUUAAGGGUCGGAACCAAGUUCUGAAAGUUAAGUCUUUCCAGCAUAAAAGGAAAAGAGCUACGAGAUAUAAGAAAAUUGAAACCCUCUCAUCUAGAAAUCUCUCUAAUGAGGUCAUCAAGAGCGAUCGAACUAUAUCUUGUGCAGAGACAAUUUCUGUCAAUAUCUCUGCUCAAUCUUGUGGAGACCCUUCUACCAUGGCCCCACGACCAUCAGCAGAUAAAGAAAAUGAGGACCCUCCUUUAGGCUCUACAAAAAUUGCCGAACUUGAUGCACAGUUGGAUAAAGCUGUUAAAGUUGAAAAUCUUACAAACAAGGACAAGGCAUCAAUAGAUCAAUUACAGUUGACGAGGCACGAAAGAGGAUUUGCAGACAGUUUAGGGGUUAUGAUUUGUGGAGUGGAUGUUGAGCAAGUUGAUGUACCAGUAGUAAACUCACAGGCAAAGAUGUCUGACUUAAAUGAUGAGAUUCCUAGCCAACAUGAACUUGGUAGUAGGGUUAUCAAGAUCACAUUCCAAAGGAAACGGAAGAGAGAGUCUAUGGUUAACGGGAAUGCCUCUCUUGUAGAGAGUAUUCUAUUAGAAAAGGCAACAGAGAAACAAAAUGUGAUGCUGGAGACGGAGAUGUCUAGCUCUAAUUGAUCCUCCUCAAAGUUGGCGUCUAGCACAGGUUGCUCGUCAGGUUGGUUAAUAUAUCUCCUUUCUUACUUGGAUGUUUGUUAACAUGUAUGGAUAGAUAUUCGCUUCUUGUUAGGUAUCUGAUGGAUGAUGUAUAUUCUCUAUCAUUUGUACAGAUUGGGUACUUUUAAUCCAUUUGUGUUGAAUCUGUUGUUUGAUGUUUAACCUUAGUCAUCUAUGCCUAUAUAUUCCUUCCAUUCUUGCUGGCCUACUCGUACUUGGGACAUAAUUUGGUCCCCAAACAUGAGAUCCUAUCCUCCCACUCGGUAAGGUCUACAUAAGUAUUGUGGAAAGAUUUUAAGUCCACAAUCAUAAGAUGCUUCUUUGAUAGUAACUGGAAAGCAACUGAUAGUAAGACUAGGCAUGAAACAACUUUCUUUGAUAAAGCUAAUCUUAUAGCGCUAUCUUCUGUACUGGAAACCUACAUUCAAUGACCUCGUUCACUAGUAGUAACUGUGAGGCCGUGUCUAGGUUUCAGAUUUUUCUAUACCCUACGGCGUAUGAUAUAGAGAUAUGCAACCUAAAGACUUCAGCUGGUCCCUUUUCUUGGCACCUGGUUUAUCUCUUGGCAGCGUUCCAAAUUUAUUGGAAGGCAUUCCACAUUGUUAGGAGAAAGCUGGCCUUGGCAGCUAUGGUUUGUUUCCUUUGGUAAGAAAGGAUCAACAGACCUCUGAAGGCGUAUAAAAGGUCCCCGUAUUUGACUAUUUUUGUUAUGGAUCAAAUGAAUGUUGAAGUUCACGUAAAUGCCUCUCAAUUUAGAUCUGUUAAACUCUCAAGCAUUACUAUCUUGCUGUGUGAACAGUAGCUCACACCUCGUGGUAUAUUUGCUAAUCACUAGCCUUAUUUCCCGAAAUCAGUCUGUCUGUAGUUAGAAAGGUAAGCCCUUCUUAGUGCUACUAAUUAUCUUUUUCCAAUUCAUGAUACUAUCAUAAAUACCUUGACAAUGUUGGAUAUGAGUAUGUGUUGGCAUCUAGAACAUGUAAGUAAAUGGUUCUGUGUACAGUAAUGUGAAACAAGAUAAUGUAGUUGUGUAUGAGUAUACUUGCAAUAUAAAGGAACUUUUAUUUACCAUCCUCGUGCGAUGGUAUUUUUUUUUCUAAACUGUGAAGUGCAUGUUUCUCUUCUACAGAAAUAUAAUGAAUCAGAGGAUCCUAGUAUCUAACCCGGCUUGUAUCUCUGUCUGAGAAAAAAUGGUGUCAGUAAAUCCCGUCAUGGAAUGCAUUGGAGUGGUAAAGGGUGCUUAAGUUGGGGGCAAAGCAAACAGCAACAUUCCUCAGAUAGUUCUCUCAAAUCGCCGCCUGCUGCAUUGAGUGAUUGUACAUCCUUGAGUUUCUAAUUCAUGGGAGAAUUACUGAAACAAACAUUAUAAUUAUUGUAUUUCUUCAAUGUCUCUCUUUUCAUAGUACCCUAAGUAACCCAUCAACUGUUUUUUUGGAAGUUAAAUGGCAUUUUGCAGA